This 74-nucleotide transfer RNA is filed under the name Perkinsus olseni. Its description in RNAcentral is "tRNA-Arg". Lineage: Eukaryota; Perkinsozoa; Perkinsida; Perkinsidae. The record is from RNAcentral.
ACCCCUGCUGGCCCAACGGAUAAGGCGCCACCCCCCUAAGGUGGAGAUUCCGAGUUCGAUCCUCGGGUAGGGUA